RNAcentral lists this ribosomal RNA (253 nucleotides) under uncultured bacterium. RNAcentral describes it as "partial 16S ribosomal RNA". It matches the Rfam family "Bacterial small subunit ribosomal RNA", at positions 524 to 776 of the family's 1533-position model. The record is from RNAcentral.
UCCGGAGGGUGCAAUCGUUAUCCGGAUUUAUUGGGUUUAAAGGGUGCGCAGGCGGAAUAAUAAGUCAGUGGUGAAAUCCUACGGCUCAACUGUAGAACUGCCAUUGAUACUGUUACUCUUGAGUACAGCUGAAGUGGGCGGAAUGUAUCAUGUAGCGGUGAAAUGCAUAGAUAUGAUACAGAACACCGAUAGCGAAAGCAGCUCACUAAACUGUAACUGACGCUCAGGCACGAAAGCGUGGGGAGAAAACAGG